Molecule: ribosomal RNA, 517 nt
Filed under: Bacillus pumilus
Lineage: Bacteria; Bacillati; Bacillota; Bacilli; Caryophanales; Bacillaceae
Description: bacterial SSU rRNA
Rfam family: Bacterial small subunit ribosomal RNA
Source: RNAcentral
UGGGCGUAAGGGCUCGCAGGCGGUUUCUUAAGUCUGAUGUGAAAGCCCCCGGCUCCACCGGGGAGGGUCAUUGGAAACUGGGAAACUUGAGUGCAGAACAGGAGAGUGGAAUUCCACGUGUAGCGGUGAAAUGCGUAGAGAUGUGGAGGAACACCAGUGGCGAAGGCGACUCUCUGGUCUGUAACUGACGCUGAGGAGCGAAAGCGUGGGGAGCGAACAGGAUUAGAUACCCUGGUAGUCCACGCCGUAAACGAUGAGUGCUAAGUGUUAGGGGGUUUCCGCCCCUUAGUGCUGCAGCUAACGCAUUAAGCACUCCGCCUGGGGAGUACGGUCGCAAGACUGAAACUCAAAGGAAUUGACGGGGGCCCGCACCAGCGGUGGAGCAUGUGGUUUAAUUCGAAGCAACGCGAAGAACCUUACCAGGUCUUGACAUCCUCUGACAACCCUAGAGAUAGGGCUUUCCCUUCGGCGACAGAGUGACAGGUGGUGCAUGGUUGUCGUCAGCUCGUGUCGUGAG